UACGAGGUUCAAUUUAGUAUUUGAAAUCACAGGAAUAUAAGUAUUAAUUAACAACAAUUUGUUUCGCUCAUUUCGCCUCGUUUCACCAUGAAAGAACAACAUGGGCGACACUGGCGACAUCUAGUAAUGAGUUUUGAAUCUUAAGUUAGUUGCACUGUCAGUCAGUCACAGACAGACAACAUGACAUUACACGUCGUAACUUUCAUAAGUUACUUAAAAAGUUUAACAGCAGAGAUCGGAUAGCAAAUCAACUGUUUUUAAAUAAUUUCAGCUGAAGUUUUCAUCCUACCUGGCUAACCGCUAACUAGGUGCUCGUGACAAUAGAAAUGAAAUGGUCUAAUCCAAUAAUGCAUGCCCACAACCUAAUGCCUUCUGAAGCAAAAUAAUUUUGUGUUGACAGUUGUAAAUUUUCAAGAUAUUGAUGUCUUCGCAAGAUCCCAUUCUUUGUUGCUAUCAGUUUUGCAAACAACAGCAAGAAAAUGCUGCUACUCAAGAUUUUAUGGUGACCAACACUUUGUUCUAAUUUAGGGCAAUGUAAGGUUGAUAAAUUUGAGGUUAAUCCCUCUUUGUCACUGUUAUAGUUGUUUGGAAACCAACAAUCCUACUAUGACUAUAUCUCCCCAGUAAAACUGGCCUCGUACUUCUCUGUUCUUCACUGGCCAGAUACUGUUCCUACAUAGUGCUGGGAGUAAUGGCCAAUUUGAAAACAAUUCUUAAAAAUUUGCAUUCAAUCGAUUUUAAUGCUGGUAUAAAAUUAUAAAUACAACUUUUACAA
Molecule: long non-coding RNA, 775 nt
Filed under: Daphnia pulicaria
Lineage: Eukaryota; Metazoa; Arthropoda; Branchiopoda; Diplostraca; Daphniidae
Description: uncharacterized LOC124315736, transcript variant X2
Source: RNAcentral